GUAAGGAAGUUAAUUAAAGAAGCCAAACACAGUGGGAACAAAAUGAAUGCUUUAAUUGUGGACACCUCCUUCCAACCUCUUUGCCAAGAAUGUCAAAUAUCUUCCCGAAACUCAAUCUUGAGUUGUGAUCACAAUGCAAUGCUAAAAAGAGGACCAAUUCUUCAUCACCAGUAUUGGUGACUUUUGUGACUCAAAAAAAGAGUCCCAAACGAAAAGAACGAAUGGCAAAAUACAUUGGUAUCAGGACUGAAAGCUCAUUUCAAGUUUAUGUUUCACCAAUGUAGGGAAACUGGGGACAGACAUGGGCAACACGUGAAGAAGUUGUGCCGUGAACCAGACACCUCAAAUAUUCUGCAAGAGAGGGACAGUUGCAAAAAACCUCUGAGCGCUCGUUCACCCUUCAAUCAACAGGAGGAUGAAGUCACGUGAUGUAAACAUAUGAACAUAGAUUGUAAGUAUUUCUUUCUUUCUUUCUU
This is a long non-coding RNA of Hippocampus zosterae (dwarf seahorse), 476 nucleotides long. RefSeq lists it as uncharacterized. The record is from RefSeq and is a predicted model, not a curated record. NCBI's taxonomy places the organism in Eukaryota, Metazoa, Chordata, Actinopteri, Syngnathiformes, Syngnathidae. The transcript has 3 exons.